This 250-nucleotide ribosomal RNA is filed under the name Cynanchum hastifolium. RNAcentral's name for it is "partial 26S ribosomal RNA". The record is from RNAcentral. Lineage: Eukaryota; Viridiplantae; Streptophyta; Magnoliopsida; Gentianales; Apocynaceae.
AUUGCGUCGUCCCCCCAUCACCCAUGUCCUGAAAUGGAGGGAGUGGGGGGGCGGAAGUUGGCUUCCCGUGCGGUGUUUGCGGCUAGCCUGAAACACGGUUCCCUCGCUGCGGAUGUCGCGACAAGUGGUGGUCGUCGAGAUUGUGCGCGAGUUGGCGGCAGGCUGCAUCGAGGGGAGCAUUUGUGGACCCUGUGCGAGAUGAGCCCUUCACCGAGGGGCAAUUUCCAACGAUUGCGACCCCAGGUCAGGC